This 497-nucleotide ribosomal RNA is filed under the name uncultured bacterium. Its description in RNAcentral is "partial 16S ribosomal RNA". It matches the Rfam family "Bacterial small subunit ribosomal RNA", at positions 28 to 507 of the family's 1533-position model. The record is from RNAcentral.
GAUGAACGCUGGCGGCGUGCCUAAUACAUGCAAGUCGAGCGAACAGACGAGGAGCUUGCUCCUCUGACGUUAGCGGCGGACGGGUGAGUAACACGUGGAUAACCUACCUAUAAGACUGGGAUAACUUCGGGAAACCGGAGCUAAUACCGGAUAAUCUAUUGAACCGCAUGGUUCAAUAGUGAAAGACGGUUUUGCUGUCACUUAUAGAUGGAUCCGCGCCGCAUUAGCUAGUUGGUAAGGUAACGGCUUACCAAGGCGACGAUGCGUAGCCGACCUGAGAGGGUGAUCGGCCACACUGGAACGGAGACACCGUCCAGACUCCUAAGGGAGGCAGCAGUAGGGAAUCUUACGCAAUGGGCGAAAGCCUGACGGAGCAACGCCGCGUGAGUGAUGAAGGUCUUCGGAGCGUAAAACUCUGUUAUGAGGGAAGAACAAAUGUGUAAGUAACUAUGCACGUCUUGACGGUACCUAAUCAGAAAGCAACGGCUAACUACGUG